AAAUACAUAAACCCUUCUCUUCUAAUAGUCACUAGUAGGUCCUUAAAGAGAGCUGUCACUUACCUACAUGGCUCAAAAAUGUACCUUAUAAUGAAUUUAGGCGUCUGAGACGAAAUUGCACAGAGUUUGAAGUAUAUAGGUAACAAGCAGAUAUUGUAAAGAAGAAAUUCCUGUCAAAAAAUUAUCAAUGCAAUGAAAUAGAGGAUGCUCUGUGUAGAGUAGAU
Molecule: non-coding RNA, 224 nt
Organism: Pelobates cultripes (western spadefoot toad)
Lineage: Eukaryota; Metazoa; Chordata; Amphibia; Anura; Pelobatidae
Source: the annotation of a GenBank genome assembly